GACAGAGGGUGCAAACGUUGCUCGGAAUUACUGGGCGUAAAGCGCAUGUAGGCGGGUCGUUAAGUCGGGGGUGAAAUCCCAGAGCUCAACUCUGGAACUGCCUUCGAUACUGGCGACCUGGACCCAAGUAGAGGCGAGUGGAAUUGCGAGUGUAGAGGUGAAAUUCGUAGAUAUUCGCAGGAACACCAGUGGCGAAGGCGACUCGCUGGACUUGUGGUGACGCUGAGAUGCGAAAGCGUGGGUAGCAAACAGG
RNAcentral lists this ribosomal RNA (253 nucleotides) under uncultured bacterium. Its description in RNAcentral is "partial 16S ribosomal RNA". It matches the Rfam family "Bacterial small subunit ribosomal RNA", at positions 524 to 776 of the family's 1533-position model. The record is from RNAcentral.